RNAcentral lists this long non-coding RNA (330 nucleotides) under Solanum tuberosum (potato). RNAcentral's name for it is "long non-coding RNA (STUB_LNC004531)". The record is from RNAcentral. Lineage: Eukaryota; Viridiplantae; Streptophyta; Magnoliopsida; Solanales; Solanaceae.
UGUUUUCCCAACUAUGGAGCUCGGAUGGUGGUAUCAAUCCCAAUUGAUGUUCAAUCCAUUAAGUUUCUGGAAAUUGAAUAGCAAAGGGCGAUUAAGGAAGUUUGGGGAAAGAACACUUAACUAGAGAACAAGAGAGCCAUGUCAAGUCUUUUGCAACUGACCUAUAUGAGGAAAAAAAUUAUAUUAAAGAGGGGGCUAAAGUUGUUUGAUUAAAGCAUCAUCAAUUUAUGCUCACCUGGUUCAAAUCGGAGCUUGAUGGCUAGAUGGAAAUAAACACUAAGAACUGGUUUUCUUCUUGAAUAUCACUUCUUCAUUGAGGAAUUAGAGGCU